AUAGCUCAGUGGUAUAGCACAUGCUUAGCAUGCAUGAGGUCCUGGGUUCAAUCCCCAGU
This 59-nucleotide transfer RNA is filed under the name Camelus bactrianus (Bactrian camel). It matches the Rfam family "tRNA", at positions 7 to 64 of the family's 71-position model. Rfam says of the family: Transfer RNA (tRNA) molecules are approximately 80 nucleotides in length. Their secondary structure includes four short double-helical elements and three loops (D, anti-codon, and T loops). The record is from Rfam by way of RNAcentral. Lineage: Eukaryota; Metazoa; Chordata; Mammalia; Artiodactyla; Camelidae. RNAcentral also lists the same sequence under 2 other names.